UACGUAGGGUGCAAGCGUUGUCCGGAAUUAUUGGGCGUAAAGAGCUCGUAGGCGGUCUGUCGCGUCUGCUGUGAAAACCCGGGGCUCAACCCCGGGCCUGCAUUCGAUACGGGCAGACUAGAGGUAGGUAGGGGAGAAUGGAAUUUCCGGUGGAGCGGUGAAAUGCGUAGAGAUCGGAAAGAACACCAACGGCGAAAGCACUCUGCUGGGCCGACACUGACACUGAGAGACGAAAGCUAGGGGAGCGAAUGGG
Molecule: ribosomal RNA, 253 nt
Filed under: uncultured bacterium
Lineage: Bacteria
Description: partial 16S ribosomal RNA
Rfam family: Bacterial small subunit ribosomal RNA
Source: RNAcentral